Molecule: ribosomal RNA, 191 nt
Filed under: Synergistaceae bacterium
Lineage: Bacteria; Thermotogati; Synergistota; Synergistia; Synergistales; Synergistaceae
Description: partial 23S ribosomal RNA
Rfam family: Bacterial large subunit ribosomal RNA
Source: RNAcentral
AGGUUAAGGGAUUAAGGGCGCACGGGGGAUGCCUUGGCACCUACGGCCGAUGAAGGGCGCGGCAAGCUGCGAAAAGCUUCGGGGAGGCGCAAGCAGCCAUAGAUCCGGAGAUGCCCGAAUGGGGAAACCCGGCUGGUAGAAGACCAGUCAUCCGCCAGUUGGCGGGGGGAACCCGGCGAAGUGAAACAUCU